AUUGAACGCUGGCGGAAUGCUUUACACAUGCAAGUCGAACGGCAGCACGGGUGCUUGCACCUGGUGGCGAGUGGCGAACGGGUGAGUAAUGCACCGGAACGUAUCCAAUAAUGGGGGAUAACGCACCGAAAGGUGUGCUAAUACCGCAUACGCCCUGAGGGGGAAAGCGGGGGAUCGUAAGACCUCGCGUUAAUGGAGCGGCCGAUGCCGGAUUAGCUAGUUGGUGAGGUAAAGGCUCACCAAGGCGACGAUCCGUAGCUGGUCUGAGAGGACGAUCCGCCACACUGGAACUGAGACACGGUCCAGACUCCUACGGGAGGCAGCAGUGGGGAAUUUUGGACAAUGGGGGCAACCCUGAUCCAGCCAUGCCGCGUGAGUGAAGAAGGCCUUC
Molecule: ribosomal RNA, 391 nt
Filed under: uncultured bacterium
Lineage: Bacteria
Description: bacterial SSU rRNA
Rfam family: Bacterial small subunit ribosomal RNA
Source: RNAcentral